GAUGAACGCUGGCGGCGUGCUUAACACAUGCAAGUCGAACGGAAAGGCCCUGCUUUUGUUUGGUGCUCGAGUGGCGAACGGGUGUGUAACACGUGAGUAUCCUGCCCCUGACUUUGGGAUAACUUCUGGAAACUGCGGCUAAUACCGGAUAGGAGCUUCUGCUCCAUAGUGGGGGUAGGAAAGUUUCGGCGGUUGGGGAUGGUCUGGCGGCUUAUCAGCUUGUUGGUGGGGGAGUGCCUUACCAAGGGUUUGACGGGUAGCCGGCAUGGGAGGGGGAACGGCCACAUUGGGACUGAGAUACGGCGCAGACUCCUACGGGAGGCAGCAGGGGGGAAUAUUGCACAAUGGGCGGAAGCCUGAUGCAGCAACGCCGCGUGCGGGAUGACGUCCUUCGGGUUGUAAACCGCUUUGGACUGUGACGAAGCGUGAGUGACGGUAAUGGGUAAAGAAGCACCGGCUAACUACGUG
RNAcentral lists this ribosomal RNA (468 nucleotides) under uncultured bacterium. Its description in RNAcentral is "partial 16S ribosomal RNA". It matches the Rfam family "Bacterial small subunit ribosomal RNA", at positions 28 to 507 of the family's 1533-position model. The record is from RNAcentral.